GCGGGUAUGGUGAAACUGGCAAACACGUAUGGUUCAGGUCCAUAUGUCGCGAGACUUGCAGGUUCAAGUCCUGUUACCCGCACCA
Molecule: transfer RNA, 85 nt
Filed under: Clostridia bacterium
Lineage: Bacteria; Bacillati; Bacillota; Clostridia
Also listed under: 1 other name
Description: tRNA-Leu
Rfam family: tRNA
About the family: Transfer RNA (tRNA) molecules are approximately 80 nucleotides in length. Their secondary structure includes four short double-helical elements and three loops (D, anti-codon, and T loops).
Source: RNAcentral